This 253-nucleotide ribosomal RNA is filed under the name uncultured bacterium. Its description in RNAcentral is "partial 16S ribosomal RNA". It matches the Rfam family "Bacterial small subunit ribosomal RNA", at positions 524 to 776 of the family's 1533-position model. The record is from RNAcentral.
UACAGAGGAUGCAAGCGUUAUCCGGAAUGAUUGGGCGUAAAGCGUCUGUAGGUGGCUUUUUAAGUCCGCCGUCAAAUCCCAGGGCUCAACUCUGGACAGGCGGUGGAAACUACCAAGCUGGAGUACGGUAGGGGCAGAGGGAAUUUCCGGUGGAGCGGUGAAAUGCGUAGAGAUCGGGAGGAACACCAGUGGCGAAGGCGGCCUUCUGGACCAGUACUGACGCUCAUGCACGAAAGCGUGGGGAGCAAACAGG